This 631-nucleotide long non-coding RNA is filed under the name Mytilus galloprovincialis (Mediterranean mussel). Lineage: Eukaryota; Metazoa; Mollusca; Bivalvia; Mytilida; Mytilidae. The record is from RNAcentral.
UGCAAUUUAAUGGUUUUUUGUCGAGCCUGCAACUUUUGUUGCAGAAAGCUCGACAUAGGGAUAGUGAUCCGGCGGCGGUGUUAGCUAACUUCUUAAAAGCUUUAUAUUUUAGAAGGUGGAAGACCUGGAUGCUUCAUACUUUGUAUAUAGAUGCCUCAUGUUACGAAGUUUCCGUCAGUCACAUGUCCAAUGUCCUUGACCUCAUUUUCAUGGUUCAGUGACCACUUGAAAAAAAAGUUCAGAUUGUUUGUAAUGUUGAAUUCUCUCUUAUUAUAAGUAAUAGGAUAACUAUAUUUGAUAUAUGCGUACCUUGAAAGGUCCUCAUGUCUGUCAGACAGUUUUCACUUGACCUCGACCUCAUUUCAUGGAUCAGUGAACAAGGUUAAGUUUUGGUGGUCAAGUCCAUAUCUCAGAUACUACAAGCAAUAGGGCUAGUAUAUUCGGUGUAUGGAAGGACUGUAAGGUGUACAUGUCAAACUGGCAGGUGUCAUCUGACCUUGACCUCAUUUUCAUGGUUCAGUGGUUAUAGUUAAAUUUUUGUGUUUUGGUCUGUUUUUCUCAUACUAUAUGCAAUAGGUCUACUAUAUUUGUUGUAUGGAAUGAUUGUAAGGUGUACCUAUCUAGAGGGCAG